AUGUGCUUCGGCGAGGAUAUGGACAUAUAACCAGAGAAAAGAAGAAGAGGAAGAAUGAGGAAGAAGAAGAAGAAGAAGGGUUUGGAAGAGACGUCAAUGAAGGGAAGAGAAAAAAUCCUGGACGGAUAAAGAAUUUUUUUCCCCCUCCUCCUUCCUCUUUUCCAUUUUUCUCCUCUUCGUGAUCUUUUCAUCUGUUAGUGGAUGUUCAGAAACAAAAAGAGAACAGAAACUAAACAACUAGGAGUGAGCAUGAGACCGAGGUCAAGCUCACGGCUCCUGACAACCGUUCACUUUGUCCGAAGAGACAGACACCGAAAAGCCACUGGAAAUGUCAGCUUUGAAAUCCUCCCAGGAUGCCAUGAACGCAAUCACCCAGAUGAAUGGCAGGGAGUGAGGCAGGAAGCAGGUGUACGUGGGACUGACUCAGGCUUACCUGCAGCAGAUGUUCACACAGAAACUGCACCAACCAGUGCUGCCCCAAGGAGAAGACCCCAGCUGUCCAGACACCUCCAUCAGAGGACGGUGUCCAAAUUGUUGAGGCAGUGGCAGAGGACACCACUGUCAGGACGGCUGCCUCAGAAAGCAGUGUCCAAAUAGUCGAGGCAGCUGCCUCCACCACUGAGACGGCUGCCUAAGAGGACACCACUGUUGAGAUGGCUACCUCAGAGGACACCACCGUCGAGACAGCUGCCUCAGAGGACACCACCGUCGAGACAGUUGCUUCAGAGGAAACCACCAUCGAGACGGCUGCCUCAGAGAACACCAGUGGCAAGACAGCUGCUUCAGAGGACUACACCGUCGAGACAGCUGCCUCAAAGGACACCAGUGUCAAGACAGCUGUCUCAGAGGACACCACUGUCGAGACAGCUGCCUUAGAAGACAUUGUUGAAACUGUCGAGACAGCUGUCUCUGAGGACACUUUAGACAGCGCACCAGCUACACUUGAGGACGUAGGUGCAACUAAAGCCACAGAUGCCUUCUACAUCUGUGGCAUCUGUACCCAAAUCUCCACCCACCAAAAAGAGGCUGACCAUUUACAUGCUGGAGUCUGUGUUGGUAGAUGACCAGGUCCAGAUGGCCUAUGACUACAUGCUCCCACUGGUUGAGGAAAUCCAACCUACUCAAGCCAACAAAAUAUCUUGUAUGAUAAUAAUGGAUGAGAUCCUGACCACUUGCGCGCACACACACACACACUUAAGUAAUACACACUUGAGUAACAUAGAGAGUGUUUCAUAACUGAUUUGUAAAUAUCUCUGACAUUAUCAAUUAACUUUGGUUAUUUCACAUCACAGUGUA
Long non-coding RNA from Hemibagrus wyckioides, 1296 nucleotides. RefSeq lists it as uncharacterized. The transcript has 4 exons. NCBI's taxonomy places the organism in Eukaryota, Metazoa, Chordata, Actinopteri, Siluriformes, Bagridae. The record is from RefSeq and is a predicted model, not a curated record.